Non-coding RNA from Pelobates cultripes (western spadefoot toad), 212 nucleotides. NCBI's taxonomy places the organism in Eukaryota, Metazoa, Chordata, Amphibia, Anura, Pelobatidae. The record is from the annotation of a GenBank genome assembly.
UGGUUAUUGACUUUGGCUUCGUUUGAUUUCACUGUAUUCUGCUAUCCUUUUGGUUUUCCUUCAUCGUUGUGUCCCUUUCUGUGUCCCUUACCUCGGCAAGUAUUCUGACUAUUCUCUGAUACGUUAAGUCCAGCCAUUCUAGGGCCCAGUAAGACAUUACCUAUUAGUCCUAGGUGUGACACAGUUCUACGUGCUGGAUCAACUAGUAAUCC